Mycena alexandri is the source of this 85-nucleotide non-coding RNA. The record is from the annotation of a GenBank genome assembly. NCBI's taxonomy places the organism in Eukaryota, Fungi, Basidiomycota, Agaricomycetes, Agaricales, Mycenaceae.
GGCUGUGUGGUACAGUGGUUAGUACGUCUGAGUCUACGUUUGCUUGCGUAACCAGAAUUUGUCGGUUCGAAUCCGUCCGUAGCCU